CACGUAGGGGGCAAGCGUUGUCCGGAUUUAUUGGGCGUAAAGAGCUCGUAGGCGGCUUUGUCAGUCGGGUGUGAAACCUCCAGGCUCAACCUGGAGCCGCCACCCGAUACUGCAAUAGCUAGAGUACGGAAGAGGAGAUUGGAAUUCCUGGUGUAGCGGUGAAAUGCGCAGAUAUCAGGAGGAACACCAACAGCGAAGGCAGAUCUCUGGGACGUAACUGACGCUGAGACGCGAAAGCGUGGGGAGCAAACAGG
RNAcentral lists this ribosomal RNA (254 nucleotides) under uncultured bacterium. Its description in RNAcentral is "partial 16S ribosomal RNA". It matches the Rfam family "Bacterial small subunit ribosomal RNA", at positions 524 to 776 of the family's 1533-position model. The record is from RNAcentral.